Molecule: long non-coding RNA, 570 nt
Organism: Chelonia mydas (Green sea turtle)
Lineage: Eukaryota; Metazoa; Chordata; Testudines; Cheloniidae
Exons: 5
Source: RefSeq, a predicted model, not a curated record
AGUUAAGGUCUGAGGACCCAUUAGUGGAUGAUGGACUACCUGAAGUCAAUCCUGGAUUCUUGGGUGAAGGUUCCAUCAGGGGCCAGACCACGUGUCCACACCCAAUUUGCAGCUACUUUUUGGCCCCUCACAUACUUUUUCUUCCCACUUGAAGCCUCCUCACCUCUCAAAAAAUCCCAUCAAUCCUCAUUCAUCAGGACACAGUAUACAUCAGCCGAGAGUUCAGACUCUCACAUUCAGUGAUCGGCCCCAAGAAGCUUGGGCGGGCCAUGGAAUUCCAAUCCCCUCUUCCCUCUUCAGUUGAGCUCUCUACAUCAGCCAUUAAAGCAUCACUGGCAACUGAAGACCCUUAUUUUACCCCAGAUCAACCUCAUAUUCUGGACUGGGGCUUUCCAGACAACUGACCUUCAUCAUCUUCCCCGCAGAUGUGGACUCCAGCAUCUGGCCAUUGAACAGAUCACAGCGUGUUCGUUGCCCUGGGAGGCUUCAGUCCAACCAUUCUAUCCAGAAGGAGGUUUGCUUUAAUUUAGAGCAGACCCUCUUCCAUUCAGUGAGUACAGGAGAUCUACU